CUCCAGGCACGCCGAUGAUUGGUUCGAAUGAAGGCCAAUCAGACUCAUGUUCAAGCUCAUUGGUGCUUUCCCGAAGUCUCCGGCGCUCGGGGAGGACCCGAGAAUGCAGAGUGCCCGGCCAAUUCGACCACCGAUUGGCCGGGAUUUCCGCCACUCAUUUCAGUGUGCAGUGUUGCAUUCCCUCUUCCAGAGUUAAGACCAUCGUAGUUUCCCGCUGGGCAGAGUGACUCUCAGCAGUUAGCCACUGCCCGAGAAGCUACCUUGUAGGGCCUCCUGCUAGCAGCUGGAUCUGAGCUGGAGACCGGGAUUCCUGGGAAGUCCAGUAAUAGCUUCCCCAGUUCCUUCCUGGAUCCAAGAUCCUCCUAAGUCCCUUCCCUGGUUUGUUCAUCAUCGCACCACACCCCUUAUCUCGUGAUUCUAGGUUGUCCUGUGCUCCGGUGAGAGUAGGAAGCUAGUUAGCUUCUAACAGGAUACCUGGAGGCCAGGAAAGGGGAAGUCGUGGACAGCGCAGCUAUAAGAAAGUCAGAGGCCCGUCCUGGCAGCAAAGCCACAGGAAGCCGGAUCAAACUGGACUGGCCCAAAGUGUCUGACAAAGAAGGCUGGAAACCCCUGACCAAAUAAGGAAGGAAAGGCGCGAAACGCUGCUUUCAACACAUCCCCGCCUCGGGUAAUAAAUAUCCCACCCCCAGUUAACAGCUGUCGGUGGAAAGUAGACCUCCAAACCCCCAGUGUGCAGUUCUCUCUGGAGCCGGCCCGCUCUCACCUCUCCAGAGCAUACUUUCACUUUAAUAAACUUUCCUGCUUGCAACUGCUCAUCCA
Acinonyx jubatus (cheetah) is the source of this 819-nucleotide long non-coding RNA. RefSeq lists it as uncharacterized. The transcript has 2 exons. The record is from RefSeq and is a predicted model, not a curated record. Lineage: Eukaryota; Metazoa; Chordata; Mammalia; Carnivora; Felidae.